AGGGAUGGGGAGCUCAGUCAGU
This 22-nucleotide microRNA is filed under the name Sarcophilus harrisii (Tasmanian devil). RNAcentral describes it as "Sha-Mir-7309_5p* (star (passenger))". Lineage: Eukaryota; Metazoa; Chordata; Mammalia; Dasyuromorphia; Dasyuridae. The record is from RNAcentral. RNAcentral also lists the same sequence under 2 other names.